AGUGAACGCUGGUGGUAGGCCUAACACAUGCAAGUCGAACGGCAGCACAGUAAGAGCUUGCUCUUACGGGUGGCGAGUGGCGGACGGGUGAGGAAUACAUCGGAAUCUACUUUUUCGUGGGGGAUAACGUAGGGAAACUUACGCUAAUGCCGCAUACGACCUACGGGUGAAAGCAGGGGAUCUUCGGACCUUGCGCGAUUGAAUGAGCCGAUGUCGGAUUAGCUAGUUGGCGGGGUAAAGGCCCACCAAGGCGACGAUCCGUAGCUGGUCUGAGAGGAUGAUCAGCCACACUGGAACUGAGACACGGUCCAGACUCCUACGGGAGGCAGCAGUGGGGAAUAUUGGACAAUGGGCGCAAGCCUGAUCCAGCCAUACCGCGUGGGUGAAGAAGGCCUUCGGGUUGUAAAGCCCUUUUGUUGGGAAAGAAAAGCAGCAGGUUAAUACCCCGCUGUUCUGACGGUACCCAAAGAAUAAGCACCGGCUAACUUCGUG
RNAcentral lists this ribosomal RNA (492 nucleotides) under uncultured bacterium. RNAcentral's name for it is "partial 16S ribosomal RNA". It matches the Rfam family "Bacterial small subunit ribosomal RNA", at positions 29 to 507 of the family's 1533-position model. The record is from RNAcentral.